CUCGCUCCAGCAGGCCGCCGAUGGAGCAGGUGUGCUGCGACAGGAGCGCGGCCCGCGGCACCACGAACAACAGCUCUCCGGCCUGCACGCUCUCCCGGGCCACCAUGCCGUAGCCGGCCACCGUGCCCUGCCGGCUGACCGCCACCUGAGCAGGAGGGCUGGUCAGGGCAGCCCGCGCCCCGCCGCGGGUCCUCCGCCCGCCGGCUCGCUCGCUCACCUUGGGACUCAGCUCCAGCCCCACCCGCCGGCACCAGCUCAGGAAGCAGGCCACAGGAUCCAGGUCGCCGCCGUCCACGGGCCCCGCCACCUGAGAUAAGUGCGCGCAGUGACCAGAGAAACCCCUUGACGCCCCUGCCUGCGUGGCCCUACAGCACCAGCUGGGCCCAGAGAGCACCAGGAAAGUGGCUGCCUGGUCCGAGCGCCCCCUUGUGGCUGUUGUCCAGAUGAUUGUCACAUGUGCUAUGAGACAGAAACAGGUGUGCUUGGUGGAGGGUGGGGGAAGGGGUCUCCCAGGGCUCCCACGCCAGUGCCUGAGCUGGCCCCGCACCCCUG
This 552-nucleotide long non-coding RNA is filed under the name Homo sapiens (human). RNAcentral describes it as "non-protein coding lnc-CNOT1-3:1". Lineage: Eukaryota; Metazoa; Chordata; Mammalia; Primates; Hominidae. The record is from RNAcentral.